UACACUCCUACGGGAGGCAGCAGUGGGGAAUUUUGGACAAUGGGCGAAAGCCUGAUCCAGCAAUGCCGCGUGAGUGAAGAAGGCCUUCGGGUUGUAAAGCUCUUUUGUCAGGGAAGAAACGGUGAAAGCUAAUAUCUUUUGCUAAUGACGGUACCUGAAGAAUAAGCACCGGCUAACUACGUGCCAGCAGCCGCGGUAAUACGUAGGGUGCAAGCGUUAAUCGGAAUUACUGGGCGUAAAGCGUGCGCAGGCGGUUUUGUAAGUCUGAUGUGAAAUCCCCGGGCUCAACCUGGGAAUUGCAUUGGAGACUGCAAGGCUAGAAUCUGGCAGAGGGGGGUAGAAUUCCACGUGUAGCAGUGAAAUGCGUAGAUAUGUGGAGGAACACCGAUGGCGAAGGCAGCCCCCUGGGUCAAGAUUGACGCUCAUGCACGAAAGCGUGGGGAGCAAACAGGAUUAGAAACCCGAGUAGUCCCAUGAU
RNAcentral lists this ribosomal RNA (478 nucleotides) under uncultured organism. Its description in RNAcentral is "partial 16S ribosomal RNA". It matches the Rfam family "Bacterial small subunit ribosomal RNA", at positions 332 to 801 of the family's 1533-position model. The record is from RNAcentral.